This is a long non-coding RNA of Gallus gallus (chicken), 2186 nucleotides long. RefSeq lists it as uncharacterized. The transcript has 3 exons. The record is from RefSeq and is a predicted model, not a curated record. NCBI's taxonomy places the organism in Eukaryota, Metazoa, Chordata, Aves, Galliformes, Phasianidae.
ACUUUUUUUUGGGUAGGCUGACAGUAGGAAGGAAGGGACAGGGAGUGGAGAUGCGGAGAAGCGCUGAAGCAGCAGCUCCCUUGGCUCGUGGAGGCUGCCAGCUGGAACCCAAGGAACAAAGAGCAGUGCAGGUGGAGCUGCACGGGGAGGGCUGGGGGCAGAGAGGCACCAAAAUAGUAUCCCGGAGAUGACACUGAGACACAUCUCCCCUUUGCCCCUCCCUACCUCCAAGCUUGCUGAAACCAUGCAGUUCCGUAGGAAAUGGCAAGACCUUUCAGGAAGACAUGCCCAUGGCCAGCCAUAUAAUGGUAACCAAAGACUUAGUUGCUAAGUCAUUCUCAGCAGGAGUUGAAAGUCUGAGUUGUGUAAAGAGAUGGAAGGUGUGUUAAGCAAGCUCCUCAGGGAGAAUGAGAGGAAAGGUGCCUUCCCCAUAGAGUAGAUUACACGUUCAGAAACUCAAAUAUAUCAUCAGCCAUUUAAGCAUUGAAAAAAUAGCAGAUGUUAAAUGCUGACAGUCUACCUUGGUACCUAAUGAGACUGAUGAACGUACACACAGGAAUAUAAAUAGAUUUCUUAUUCUACUUGCAACCUUGGUAAUAGAUGAAUUACUCUUACCAUGAAGAAAUGAACUGAAUGUUCCUACUGCAGGUGAAUAUUUUCAAUGUGAUGGUUGUAGCAGUUCUCCCAGGUGGACCACAAGAAAAUGCUGCAUCAGCAAGAGUGAAACAUAUAACAACGUAAAAACAGCAUGGACGGGCAAAUAUCUAACAGAACAGAAACAUCAGCAGCAAGCCUAAAUAAACAUUUUAUAUUUCACAUUUCAUGGGAAGGAAAGGUCAUUUUAGUUUUAAAUCCUUUAAGCUUUACUGCAGGGAAGUAGUUCUCUAUGGUAAUGUGUGUUACUUAAUGAUUUGAAUCCCCCUUUCCUUGAAAGUACAGAACUCUGGUAUGCUCUUUCAGUAUAAAACUACUACCAUUUUACAGAAACAGUGACCCGGUUUUGAAAUGGCUUAAUUCCAUUCUAUAAAACAAAACUGCUGCACAAUAUUUCUUGGAAGAACUAAUGCCUCGCAGCAGCUGUUGAGAAAAGGAAGUAAAGUUUCAGAUCUUUAGAGUUGGUCCAAAUGAUUUGAGCACUUCAGACAAACUAAGUGAAUCUCUGAGCUAUAUAAAGUCACAUCAUAACUAUGUCACACAACCAAAAAGCGCCACGAAAGCUAAAAAAUGUUGUUUUAGCCAAUUUGACCAUAGGAUGGUCCUGCAACUACCUGUUUAAAGCACUUGAUUUGCCAGAAUUCUCAAUAUAGAAGUGAAUGAGAAACAUGGGAAAUUUCUUCUAAUCCAUUUAUUUAUAAGUAUCCCACAUCUACAGUCCUUGACACAUUGCUCCUCUUUCUCUUCAUUAAGAUAUGGCAAACUCUCUCCUGUUUUGAAACUUAACUUACACUUGAGUGACAAGAAGGCUACUAGAAGGACACAAAUAUUACUGUGUCUAUGCCAGUAUAAAUUUGGUUGAUACUGAAAUUUGCACUUAGCACUAAAUACUUUAUACUAUACAGUGAUUUAAAAAAAAAAAAAAAAAGAAGCUUAAAAUGCUUAUCUUCUCCUUUUGCUCUUUUGGAUAUUUCACCUAAGAGGUAUUUAAGAUCUGUCCUUCAGCAUCUGAAGAGAGUACAUUCACCACAAUUCCAGAGUGCCCUGUUUUGUUGCAGGGCUUAAAUUCAGUGGUUAUAUGGAAAUAAAGGGUCCUGCUAGAUUGAAUUUAGAAGUCUUUUGUAUAUAUGUCCUACAAACAAGUAUAUACAUGGUUAAAAAAAAAAAUGUAGUUUUUGAAAAACAGCUAAUUAGCAUUUCCACAAGAGAAAUAGUCCUUCGGAGAUUAUCUUCCUCAAGGAGGAUCCAGAUGUAGAUUAGUUCAAAUAAGAGGUGUAAUUACUGUGAUACAGCUGAGAACAGAGGGAGAGAGAAAGAGAGCAGGUGACUGAUACUCAGUGUAAAUAACAUUAAGAAUUAUUUUCCUGCUGACAGCAGCAUUGCCUGGUGCUGCUGCUGCUUCUUGUCCUGCGUACAAUUAACAAAUGUGCAGUUAGAAGAGUGGCACAGUUAGGAUGGUAUUUUACAGGUUUAUAGUUAGAAAGAUUAUCAUGAUGGAAAAAGACAAUCAAAAAUAAAUGCUCACCCAUACC